CGCGGAAGAUGUAACGGGGCUAAACCAUGCACCGAAGCUGCGGCAGCGAACGUAUCACCCAAGACAACUUUACGGAGUUGACGAUUGACGGAGCGAAGCGACGUCAAAGCGUUCAUUAAAGUCGAGUUGGCUUAGGGAUACGUUCGUUGGGUAGGGGAGCGUUCUGUAAGCCUGUGAAGGUGUGUCGUGAGGCAUGCUGGAGGUAUCAGAAGUGCGAAUGCUGACAUAAGUAACGAUAAAGCGGGUGAAAAGCCCGCUCGCCGGAAGACCAAGGGUUCCUGUCCAACGUUAAUCGGGGCAGGGUGAGUCGACCCCUAAGGCGAGGCCGAAAGGCGUAGUCGAUGGGAAACGGGUUAAUAUUCCCGUACUUGGUGUUACUGCGAAGGGGGGACGGAGAAGGCUAUGUUGGCCGGGCGACGGUUGUCCCGGUUUAAGCGUGUAGGUGUGUGUUCCAGGUAAAUCCGGUUCACUUUAACACUGAGGCGUGACGACGAGGCACUACGGUGCUGAAGCAACAAAUGCCCUGCUUCCAGGAAAAGCCUCUAAGCAUCAGGUAACAUCAAAUCGUACCCCAAACCGACACAGGUGGUCAGGUAGAGAAUACCAAGGCGCUUGAGAGAACUCGGGUGAAGGAACUAGGCAAAAUGGUGCCGUAACUUCGGGAGAAGGCACGCUGACACGUAGGUGAAGUGAUUUACUCAUGGAGCUGAAGUCAGUCGAAGAUACCAGCUGGCUGCAACUGUUUAUUAAAAACACAGCACUGUGCAAACACGAAAGUGGACGUAUACGGUGUGACGCCUGCCCGGUGCCGGAAGGUUAAUUGAUGGGGUCAGCGCAAGCGAAGCUCCUGAUCGAAGCCCCGGUAAACGGCGGCCGUAACUAUAACGGUCCUAAGGUAGCGAAAUUCCUUGUCGGGUAAGUUCCGACCUGCACGAAUGGCGUAAUGAUGGCCAGGCUGUCUCCACCCGAGACUCAGUGAAAUUGAACUCGCUGUGAAGAUGCAGUGUACCCGCGGCAAGACGGAAAGACCCCGUGAACCUUUACUAUAGCUUGACACUGAACAUUGAGCCUUGAUGUGUAGGAUAGGUGGGAGGCUUUGAAGUGUGGACGCCAGUCUGCAUGGAGCCGACCUUGAAAUACCACCCUUUAAUGUUUGAUGUUCUAACGUGGACCCGUAAUCCGGGUUGCGGACAGUGUCUGGUGGGUAGUUUGACUGGGGCGGUCUCCUCCUAAAGAGUAACGGAGGAGCACGAAGGUUGGCUAAUCCUGGUCGGACAUCAGGAGGUUAGUGCAAUGGCAUAAGCCAGCUUGACUGCGAGCGUGACGGCGCGAGCAGGUGCGAAAGCAGGUCAUAGUGAUCCGGUGGUUCUGAAUGGAAGGGCCAUCGCUCAACGGAUAAAAGGUACUCCGGGGAUAACAGGCUGAUACCGCCCAAGAGUUCAUAUCGACGGCGGUGUUUGGCACCUCGAUGUCGGCUCAUCACAUCCUGGGGCUGAAGUAGGUCCCAAGGGUAUGGCUGUUCGCCAUUUAAAGUGGUACGCGAGCUGGGUUUAGAACGUCGUGAGACAGUUCGGUCCCUAUCUGCCGUGGGCGCUGGAGAACUGAGGGGGGCUGCUCCUAGUACGAGAGGACCGGAGUGGACGCAUCACUGGUGUUCGGGUUGUCAUGCCAAUGGCACUGCCCGGUAGCUAAAUGCGGAAGAGAUAAGUGCUGAAAGCAUCUAAGCACGAAACUUGCCCCGA
RNAcentral lists this ribosomal RNA (1742 nucleotides) under Salmonella enterica. RNAcentral's name for it is "partial 23S ribosomal RNA". It matches the Rfam family "Bacterial large subunit ribosomal RNA", at positions 1162 to 2802 of the family's 2925-position model. Lineage: Bacteria; Pseudomonadati; Pseudomonadota; Gammaproteobacteria; Enterobacterales; Enterobacteriaceae. The record is from RNAcentral.